RNAcentral lists this ribosomal RNA (200 nucleotides) under uncultured bacterium. Its description in RNAcentral is "partial 16S ribosomal RNA". It matches the Rfam family "Bacterial small subunit ribosomal RNA", at positions 8 to 205 of the family's 1533-position model. The record is from RNAcentral.
AGAGUUUGAUCCUGGCUCAGAGCGAACGCUGGCGGCGUGCUUAACACAUGCAAGUCGAGUGCGCGGCUGUAGCAAUACAGCUGGCGCACGGCGCACGGGUGCGUAACACGUGGGCAAUCUGCCCUCCGAUGGGGAAUAACCCGCCGAAAGGCGGGCUAAUUCCGCAUAACAUUCCUUGGACCACGGUCCGGGGACUCAAA